AAAUGAGAAUUCCUUCGGCAAAAGGAGAAGCUGAUUUGCAGAAGUGCUGAGCAUGCCUGAGAGAGAUGGGAGUGAUCAAGACCAGGAGUGCCAUUUGGAUGUGCAGAGUUGAGCAGGGAGAUACCAGGGUUCGUCAUGGGCAGCAAUGACUACGAUGGACAAGAAGAUAGAGGCCCUAAUCCUAAUUUUCUGAGCACCAUGGAAGCCCCCUGGAUUCUAGGGAGACCUUGAGGAGAAAGCAGACUCCCGUAAAUGCCUGACAUUGAAAUUCCUGCAAGUCUAGGAGCAUGUGAACUCAAAAUGGAAAUUAAUUUG
This 315-nucleotide small RNA is filed under the name Pan troglodytes (chimpanzee). RNAcentral's name for it is "processed transcript". The record is from RNAcentral. Lineage: Eukaryota; Metazoa; Chordata; Mammalia; Primates; Hominidae.